GAUUUCUAAGGCAGGUUUCUCAUGAUUGUGGAACCUGCAAACUUCUCCAGUUUUACCAUCACUUCCAGAGCCCAUGGCAUGCUGUUUGAAUGUCUGCUGCUACUCCAGCGACUUCAGCCUUCAGAGACUUCAGCCUUUUUGCCAUGGCAAGAACAAUGUCACCAGCUAGUCUGAUCUUUGUACACCAGCAGUGGCUCUGUAGGCCAUUUACUGGGCUCAAAGUUGUGGACUGCCAGCAGCCAGAAGCCAGCAAAUUGGGCAGGUCCAUCUGGGUUUCAACCAGAAGAGUGGCAUCACCACCUGAGGCAUGCUGAGAUGCAAGCAGGUCAUAGCGGGCCACACUCAGCCAGUGUACCACCUGGACUGCGAGGGAGCAGGGCUCAGCCGACCCUGUGCUUUUGUUUGAG
This 407-nucleotide long non-coding RNA is filed under the name Salvator merianae (Argentine black and white tegu). RNAcentral's name for it is "lncRNA (ENSSMRG00000021428.1)". Lineage: Eukaryota; Metazoa; Chordata; Lepidosauria; Squamata; Teiidae. The record is from RNAcentral.